This 491-nucleotide ribosomal RNA is filed under the name uncultured bacterium. RNAcentral's name for it is "partial 16S ribosomal RNA". It matches the Rfam family "Bacterial small subunit ribosomal RNA", at positions 29 to 507 of the family's 1533-position model. The record is from RNAcentral.
AGUGAACGCUGGCGGUAGGCCUAACACAUGCAAGUCGAACGGCAGCACAGUAAGAGCUUGCUCUUACGGGUGGCGAGUGGCGGACGGGUGAGGAAUACAUCGGAAUCUACUUUUUCGUGGGGGAUAACGUAGGGAAACUUACGCUAAUACCGCAUACGACCUACGGGUGAAAGCAGGGGAUCUUCGGACCUUGCGCGGUUGAAUGAGCCGAUGUCGGAUUAGCUAGUUGGCGGGGUAAAGGCCACCAAGGCGACGAUCCGUAGCUGGUCUGAGAGGAUGAUCAGCCACACUGGAACUGAGACACGGUCCAGACUCCUACGGGAGGCAGCAGUGGGGAAUAUUGGACAAUGGGCGCAAGCCUGAUCCAGCCAUACCGCGUGGGUGAAGAAGGCCUUCGGGUUGUAAAGCCCUUUUGUUGGGAAAGAAAAGCAGCAGGUUAAUACCCCGCUGUUCUGACGGUACCCAAAGAAUAAGCACCGGCUAACUUCGUG